CAGUUCGGAUUGUAGUCUGCAACCCGACUACAUGAAGCUGGAGUCGCUAGUAAUCGCGGAUCAGAAUGCCGCGGUGAAUACGUUCCCGGGUCUUGUACACACCGCCCGUCACACCAUGGGAGUCGGAAAUGCCCGAAGUCUGUGACCCAACCUACGGGAGGGAGCAGCCGAAGGCAGGUCGGAUGACUGGGGUGAAGUCGUAACAAGGUACC
This 212-nucleotide ribosomal RNA is filed under the name uncultured bacterium. Its description in RNAcentral is "partial 16S ribosomal RNA". It matches the Rfam family "Bacterial small subunit ribosomal RNA", at positions 1289 to 1500 of the family's 1533-position model. The record is from RNAcentral.